UGAGUAACCUGCCCUUCACUCUGGGAUAACUCCGGGAAACCGGGGCUAAUACUGGAUAUGACUCGAACAGGCAUCUGUUUCGGGUGGAAAGAUUUAUUGGUGGAGGAUGGACUCGCGGCCUAUCAGCUUGUUGGUGAGGUAAUGGCUCACCAAGGCGAUGACGGGUAGCCGGCCUGAGGAGGGGCGAUCGGCCACACGUGGGACUGAGACACGGCCCAGACCUCCGUACGGGGAGG
This 236-nucleotide ribosomal RNA is filed under the name uncultured bacterium. Its description in RNAcentral is "partial 16S ribosomal RNA". It matches the Rfam family "Bacterial small subunit ribosomal RNA", at positions 118 to 347 of the family's 1533-position model. The record is from RNAcentral.